This is a long non-coding RNA of Columba livia (rock pigeon), 955 nucleotides long. RefSeq lists it as uncharacterized. The transcript has 4 exons. Lineage: Eukaryota; Metazoa; Chordata; Aves; Columbiformes; Columbidae. The record is from RefSeq and is a predicted model, not a curated record.
UCAGCUGGGUGACUUCUGGGGCAGCGAUGGGCAUGAAGGCCAGAGCAGAGGGACUUUGCUUCCUCACAAACAGGGAGAUGGGGCUGGAAGAAACACCUGCACUGCUGUCAUGCACCAGCUGCUCUGCCAGAGGCAGCCUGAAGGGGUUAAGGAGAGGCCUCCUCUUCUCCCUCCAGCUAAAAAGCCAAUUUGCACCAGCUGGACCCUGUUUCUGGGGACAACAGAUUGGGAGAUGGUGGUGCUGGGCUGGGUGUUCGGGGAUAAGAGCAGUGUGGAAGGGGUGGUGGGGGUGUGUGAUGUGUGUUCUUUUUCCUGAAUGAGCCUGUUACUUUAGAAGAGAGGACUGGCCUGCUGAUAUGGGGUCUGUGGGCUGUAAAACAAGGGACAGGAGGCUGUCUGCAGAAAUGGACUUCUAGAGGCUGAUUAACAUAGAUCAAACUCAGAAUUGGUACUUAGGUGAUUCCUGCAAACAAAUGAAUGCUCUUGGAGUUCCUCUGGCAGACAUCUUGUGACUGCUGCUCUGCAGGGCUGGGCGCGUUGUGAAGUUCUUUAUCUUCAAUAAAGAUACCAAAUCCAAAUUUUGAAAGCUUCUCUACUCAGAAGAGCUGAAGAAAGAUGUCGUCAUCAGCCAAAUCUUCAAGACAGAAAAGCGCAGCUAAAUUUGAAAAAUGUGACGUGUUUAUUGCCAUGAUGAGGUGUUCUAUUAGCUGGAAAGGAUCUAUAAGGCUCCACACCUGGAAAUCCCCUUGGCCUCUCCCAGUGCUGUACCUGUAGGUAGUUGCUUAAAAGCAUUUUUCCACUGCCAGUCUGACAGGAUUGCAGUAGGACCCACCGGGGCAAGACUGACGCUGUGGAGAAGAGAAGCUCAAGUCACACUCCUGCUUAUAAUGCCAAGUGCUCUGUAUGAAAACUUUUUAGGAGAAAACUGGGGCCUAACAAUAAAUAAAUAAAUGCC